Molecule: small RNA, 128 nt
Filed under: Pantoea dispersa
Lineage: Bacteria; Pseudomonadati; Pseudomonadota; Gammaproteobacteria; Enterobacterales; Erwiniaceae
Also listed under: 1 other name
Description: RtT sRNA
Rfam family: RtT RNA
About the family: This family represents a bacterial cis-regulatory element known as RtT RNA. The exact function of RtT is unknown although it is thought that it may be involved in changing the cellular response in relation to amino acid starvation.
Source: RNAcentral
GUUAAUAACACCUGGAGAAGGAUGAGAAACUUCGACCGAAGGUUCGGGUCGAACGCAGUGAGACAACGCGCGUCAGCGCGGCCCGCAGGGUGAGCCGCUUGCGGCGAAUAAUCCUUCUCCCGCCACCC